CUUACCAAGGUUAGAAAUCCAGCUGCAUCCGACCUGAAAGGGACGGAGCCUUCGAGGGUGCUGGACAGGUGAUGCAUGGUCGUCGUCAGUUCGUGGUUUGAACUGUUCCCUUCAGUGGGGUAACGAACGCAACCCCCGUUGCCUGUUGCCUAUAUGGCCAGGCGAGACUGCUCCCUCACGGGAGAGGAAGGUGGGGAUGACGCCAGAUCAGCAUGUCCCUCUGAUAUCUUGGGCUGCACGCAUAAUACAAUGGUCGGUACAACGGGUUGCAAUGCCGCAAGGCGGAGCCAAUCCUUAUAAAACCGACCCCAGUACGGAUUGAGGUCUGCAACCGACCUCAUGAAGCCGGAAUCGCUAGUAAUCCCGGGUCAGCCAAACCGGGGUGAAUACGUUCUCAAGUCUUGUACUCACAAUAAAAGCGCACAGCAGUGCGCCUAUCUACGCGGUU
RNAcentral lists this ribosomal RNA (448 nucleotides) under Patescibacteria group bacterium. Its description in RNAcentral is "bacterial SSU rRNA". It matches the Rfam family "Bacterial small subunit ribosomal RNA", at positions 970 to 1386 of the family's 1533-position model. The record is from RNAcentral.